AAGUCGUAACAAGGUCUCCGUUGGUGAACCAGCGGAGGGAUCAUUACUGAGUUAUCCAAAAACUCCCAACCCUAUGUGAACUUACCACUGUUGCCUCGGCGAGCUGCGCUACCCUGUAGCUACUUUUGUAGCGACCUGGGAGCGCGUUAUAGGCUCGCCAGAGGACCACUAAACUCUGUUUUAUUUUGUAUCUCUGAAUCUUACAACUGAAAUUAGUUAAAACUUUCAACAACGGAUCUCUUGGUUCUG
This 249-nucleotide unclassified non-coding RNA is filed under the name fungal sp. RNAcentral describes it as "partial internal transcribed spacer region". The stretch from base 1 to 46 matches the Rfam family "Eukaryotic small subunit ribosomal RNA", at positions 1786 to 1831 of the family's 1831-position model. Lineage: Eukaryota; Fungi. The record is from RNAcentral.